AGAGUUUGAUCCUGGCUCAGAACGAACGCUGGCGGCGUGCUUAACACAUGCAAGUCGAACGAGAAAGAGUUCCCUCGGGAACUUGAGUAGAGUGGCGCACGGGUGAGUAACACGUAGAUAAUCUACCCUUAUAUAUGGAAUAACUGGGCGAAAGCUCAGCUAAUACCGUAUACGCUUUUCCGGUCGCGAGACCGGGUGAGGAAAGGUGGCCUCUGAUUCAAGCUAUCGUAUAAGGAUGAGUCUGCGUACCAUUAGCUAGUAGGUGGGGUAAUAGCCCACCUAGGCGACGAUGGUUAGCGGGUCUGAGAGGAUGAUCCGCCACACUGGAACUGGAACACGGACCAGACUCCUACGGGAGGCAGCAGUGAGGAAUUUUGCGCAAUGGGGGUAACCCUGACGCAGCGACGCCGCGUGGGUGAUGAAGGCUUUCGAGUCGUAAAGCCCUGUCAAGUGGGAAGAACCGUCAAUAUGCUAAUACCAUGUUGAUCUGACGGUACCACUAAAGGAAGCACCGGCUAACUCCGUGCCAGCAGCCGCGGUAAUACGGAGGGUGCAAGCGUUGUUCGGAUUCACUGGGUUUAAAGGGUGUGUAGGCGGGGUAUUAAGUCAGUGGUGAAAGCCUACAGCUUAACUGUAGAACUGCCAUUGAAACUGAUAUUCUUGAGUACAAUUGAAGUAGGCGGAACGUGUGGUGUAGCGGUGAAAUGCUUAGAGAUCACACAGAACACCGAUUGCGAAGGCAGCUUGCUAAAUUGUAACUGACGCUGAGACACGAAAGCGUGGGGAUCAAACAGGAUUAGAUACCCUGGUAGUCC
Molecule: ribosomal RNA, 815 nt
Filed under: uncultured bacterium
Lineage: Bacteria
Description: bacterial SSU rRNA
Rfam family: Bacterial small subunit ribosomal RNA
Source: RNAcentral